AUAAGGGAGUUCAAGAAUUUGGAGACAAAAGGGGUUCCAUUCCCAAAGAGCCAACCCAUGAGAAUAUACUCUAGUCUUUGGAACGCUGAGGAUUGGGCCACAAGGGGUGGGCUUGUGAAAACGGAUUGGAGCAAGGCCCCAUUCACAGCCUCUUACAGAAACUUCAAUUCCCAAACCUCUUCCUCCACUGGCCAAUCACUGGACGCCACGGGGCAGGCAAAGAUCCGUUGGGUGCAAAAGAAUUACAUGAUUUACAAUUAUUGCACUGAUAUCAGACGUUUCCCUCAAGGCCUUCCUCCAGAAUGCUCCAUUGCAUGAGAAUAUUU
This 326-nucleotide long non-coding RNA is filed under the name Glycine max (soybean). RNAcentral's name for it is "long non-coding RNA (GMAX_LNC003445)". The record is from RNAcentral. Lineage: Eukaryota; Viridiplantae; Streptophyta; Magnoliopsida; Fabales; Fabaceae.